ACGAACGCUGGCGGCGUGCUUAACACAUGCACGUCGCACGGAAAGGCCCUGCUUUUGUGGGGUGCUCGAGUGGCGAACGGGUGAGUAACACGUGAGUAACCUGCCCUUGACUUUGGGAUAACUUCAGGAAACUGGGGCUAAUACCGGAUAGGAGCUCCUGCUGCAUGGUGGGGGUUGGAAAGUUUCGGCGGUUGGGGAUGGACUCGCGGCUUAUCAGCUUGUUGGUGGGGUAGUGGCUUACCAAGGCUUUGACGGGUAGCCGGCCUGAGAGGGUGACCGGCCACAUUGGGACUGAGAUACGGCCCAGACUCCUACGGGAGGCAGCAGUGGGGAAUAUUGCACAAUGGGCGGAAGCCUGAUGCAGCAACGCCGCGUGCGGGAUGACGGCCUUCGGGUUGUAAACCGCUUUCGCCUGUGACGAAGCGUGAGUGACAGUAAUGGGUAAAGAAGCACCGGCUAACUACGUG
Molecule: ribosomal RNA, 467 nt
Filed under: uncultured bacterium
Lineage: Bacteria
Description: partial 16S ribosomal RNA
Rfam family: Bacterial small subunit ribosomal RNA
Source: RNAcentral